UCCGCAAAAUUUUUGGCGCCA
RNAcentral lists this non-coding RNA (21 nucleotides) under Arabidopsis thaliana (thale cress). The record is from RNAcentral. Lineage: Eukaryota; Viridiplantae; Streptophyta; Magnoliopsida; Brassicales; Brassicaceae.